AACCCUAGACAGAGGAUCACUUGGCUCAUGGGUCGAUGAAGACCGCAGCAAACUGCGCGUCGCCAUGUGAACUGCAGGACACAUGAUCAUUGACAUGUUGAACGCAUAUUGCGCCUUAUACAUUUGGUUCUAUAAUAUUAUUUUUUGGAACUGUAUAAGGUACAUAUGGUUGAGUGUCG
Molecule: ribosomal RNA, 179 nt
Filed under: Clunio marinus
Lineage: Eukaryota; Metazoa; Arthropoda; Insecta; Diptera; Chironomidae
Description: 5.8S ribosomal RNA
Rfam family: 5.8S ribosomal RNA
About the family: 5.8S ribosomal RNA (5.8S rRNA) is a component of the large subunit of the eukaryotic ribosome. It is transcribed by RNA polymerase I as part of the 45S precursor that also contains 18S and 28S rRNA.
Source: Rfam by way of RNAcentral